Molecule: ribosomal RNA, 253 nt
Filed under: uncultured bacterium
Lineage: Bacteria
Description: partial 16S ribosomal RNA
Rfam family: Bacterial small subunit ribosomal RNA
Source: RNAcentral
GACGUAGGGCGCGAGCGUUGUCCGGAUUUAUUGGGCGUAAAGAGCUCGUAGGCGGCUUGUUGCGUCGGCUGUGAAAACCCAUGGCUCAACCGUGGGCUUGCAGCCGAUACGGGCAGGCUAGAGUUCGGUAGGGGAGACUGGAAUUCCUGGUGUAGCGGUGAAAUGCGCAGAUAUCAGGAGGAACACCAGUGGCGAAGGCGACUCACUGGCCCGUUACUGACGCUGAGGCGCGAAAGCUAGGGGAGCGAACAGG